Molecule: ribosomal RNA, 497 nt
Filed under: uncultured bacterium
Lineage: Bacteria
Description: partial 16S ribosomal RNA
Rfam family: Bacterial small subunit ribosomal RNA
Source: RNAcentral
GAUGAACGCUGGCGGCGUGCCUAAUACAUGCAAGUCGAGCGAACAGACGAGGAGCUUGCUCCUCUGACGUUAGCGGCGGACGGGUGAGUAACACGUGGAUAACCUACCUAUAAGACUGGGAGAACUUCGGGAAACCGGAUCUAAUACCGCAUAAUAUAUUAAACCGCAUUGUUCAGUAGUGAAACACGGUUUUGCUGUCUCUUAUAGAUGGCUCCGGGUCGCAUUAGCUAGUGGGUAAGGUAACGGCUUACCAAGGCAACGAUGCGUAGCCGACCUGAGAGGGUGAUCGGCCACACUGGAACUGAGACACGGUCCAGACUCCUACGGGAGGCAGCAGUGGGGAAUCUUGGGCAAUGGGCGAAAGCCUGACGGAGCAAGGCCGCGUGGGUGAUGAAGGUCUUCGGAUCGUAAAACUCUGUUAUUAGGGAAGAACAAAUGUGUAAGUAAAUAUGCACGUCUUGACGGUACCUAAUCAGAAAGCCACGGCUAACUACGUG